Molecule: ribosomal RNA, 215 nt
Filed under: uncultured Pseudomonas sp.
Lineage: Bacteria; Pseudomonadati; Pseudomonadota; Gammaproteobacteria; Pseudomonadales; Pseudomonadaceae
Description: partial 16S ribosomal RNA
Rfam family: Bacterial small subunit ribosomal RNA
Source: RNAcentral
GGAAGUGGGGAUGACGUCAAGUCAUCAUGGCCCUUACGGCCUGGGCUACACACGUGCUACAAUGGUCGGUCAAAAGGGUUGCCCAAGCCGCGAGGUGGAGCUAAUCCCAUAAAACCGAUCGUAGUCCGGAUCGCAGUCUGCAACUCGACUGCGUGAAGUCGGAAUCGCUAGUAAUCGUGAAUCAGAAUGUCACGGUGAAUACGUUCCCGGGCCUU